This 588-nucleotide ribosomal RNA is filed under the name uncultured bacterium. RNAcentral describes it as "bacterial SSU rRNA". It matches the Rfam family "Bacterial small subunit ribosomal RNA", at positions 338 to 916 of the family's 1533-position model. The record is from RNAcentral.
CCUACGGGAGGCAGCAGUAGGGAAUCUUCCGCAAUGGACGAAAGUCUGACGGAGCAACGCCGCGUGAACGAUGAAGGCCUUCGGGUCGUAAAGUUCUGUUGUUAGGGAAGAACAAGUGCUAGUUAAAUAAGCUGGCACCUUGACGGUACCUAACCAGAAAGCCACGGCUAACUACGUGCCAGCAGCCGCGGUAACACGUAGGGGACGAGCGUUGUCCGGAUUCAUUGGGCGUAAAGCGCGCGCAGGCGGUUUCUUAAGUCUGAUGUGAAAGCCCACGGCUCAACCGUGGAGGGUCAUUGGAAACUGGGGAACUUGAGUGCAGAAGAGAAAAGCGGAAUUCCACGUGUAGCGGUGAAAUGCGUAGAGAUGUGGAGGAACACCAGUGGCGAAGGCGACUUUCUGGUCUGUAACUGACACUGAGGCGCGAAAGCGUGGGGAGCAAACAGGAUUAGAUACCCUGGUAGUCCACGCCGUAAACGAUGAGUGCUAAGUGUUAGAGGGUUUCCGCCCUUUAGUGCUGCAGCUAACGCAUUAAGCACUCCGCCUGGGGAGUACGGCCGCAAGGCUGAAACUCAAAGGAAUUGACGG